Molecule: long non-coding RNA, 879 nt
Filed under: Salvia miltiorrhiza (redroot sage)
Lineage: Eukaryota; Viridiplantae; Streptophyta; Magnoliopsida; Lamiales; Lamiaceae
Description: long non-coding RNA (SMIL_LNC008061)
Source: RNAcentral
CGGACGGCACGCCGCCGCCGGAAGCCGCCGGCUCUGCCUCCCCUUCCCAUCUCCUCAACCUCUCUUCCUCUCCCUCAUCUCUCGUCCCCGUGACCUCUCUCCCUCUCCCUCAUCUCUCGCCUACCCCUGUCCUCUCCUCAUCGCGAGCUGCGGCCGGUCCGACGCCCUUCGCCGCCUGCCACCACCUUCUCUUGCCCGGCAGAAGCACCGCCGUCGCCGUCCCACGACAGACAGUAGCAGCCGCCCAGCCACCUCCUCCCCCUAUCUCGACUGGAACAGCGGGGCAGCCACCGAAGCCAUAGCGCCGCCGCCGUCCCUGCUUCUCUACACCGCCGCCUCGGCAUAUGCAGCGGCGGCCGUUGCUCCGACGAGCAACCCCUUACCCCAUUUCAUUUUAAUUCCCUCCAUUAUUCAAGGUUUCUAAAUCUGAGUUUCUUUAUUGUAAAAUCAGUGAAAUAUGCAUUCUAUUUCAAUUUCUUAUCAAUUAAAUACCUGUGUAUGCAUGUUUGAAUUUAUAAAAACAAGAAUUUUGUGGGAGUUUGGUUGUUUUCUGUAAAUUGAAAGAAAGCAGAGAUCUUUGCAUAUGAAAAUAAAACUAUACAAGUUUAUGAGAAUUACCGAUGGAGAUUCGGCAGUGAGAAGAAACAGGAUGAAUUUUAAAAGACUGAAUUUGUUUUGUUGAUUUGUGAAUUUGAGGAUGAUACAAUGAGGUUUAAAUAGAUUGAAUUUACUUGUUCGUCAACUACUGUGUGAAAGAAAUCAAAGUUUGCUGCGGUAGAAAUCAAAGUUUGAAAUCAAAGUUUGUUGCUGUGUUGAUCAAAUCUUACGUGCUGCUGUGUUUAUCAAAUAUUACGGAAAGAAAUCAAAUUUGGCUGGCUG